AACGAACGCUGGCGGCAGGCCUAACACAUGCAAGUCGAGCGAGGACUUCGGUCCUAGCGGCGGACGGGUGAGUAACGCGUGGGAACGUGCCCUUUGCUUCGGAAUAGCCCUGGGAAACUGGGAGUAAUACCGGAUGAGCCCUUUGGGGGAAAGAUUUAUCGGCGAAGGAUCGGCCCGCGUUGGAUUAGGUAGUUGGUGGGGUAAUGGCCUACCAAGCCGACGAUCCAUAGCUGGUUUGAGAGGAUGAUCAGCCACACUGGGACUGAGACACGGCCCAGACUCCUACGGGAGGCAGCAGUGGGGAAUCUUAGACAAUGGGGGAGACCCUGAUCUAGCCAUGCCGCGUGAGCGAUGAAGGCCUUAGGGUUGUAAAGCUCUUUCAGCUGGGAAGAUAAUGACGGUACCAGCAGAAGAAGCCCCGGCUAACUCCGUG
This 433-nucleotide ribosomal RNA is filed under the name uncultured bacterium. Its description in RNAcentral is "partial 16S ribosomal RNA". It matches the Rfam family "Bacterial small subunit ribosomal RNA", at positions 29 to 507 of the family's 1533-position model. The record is from RNAcentral.